Molecule: transfer RNA, 55 nt
Filed under: Cylicocyclus radiatus
Lineage: Eukaryota; Metazoa; Nematoda; Chromadorea; Rhabditida; Strongylidae
Description: tRNA-Leu
Source: RNAcentral
GCAUAGUUAGUAUAUAAAAUAUAUUAGAUUUAGAUUCUAAAGAAAAACUUAUGUU